Molecule: RNA transcript, 4454 nt
Organism: Vespa crabro (European hornet)
Lineage: Eukaryota; Metazoa; Arthropoda; Insecta; Hymenoptera; Vespidae
Gene name: dynein axonemal assembly factor 11
Exons: 11
Source: RefSeq, a predicted model, not a curated record
CUUUCAGGAUCUGACAAAUUUUAGAAGAAAAAAAAAACUGGACUUACUAUUAGGGAGAAUUCAUUGAACACAUCUGACAGCACUGUUUUCUAGUUCUCUUAGUUUAGACGAUGACAAGCCAUCAUGGCACGCGGUCGGAGGUGUGUUUUAAGUCAUAUAACAAAUUUAUCGUGAUAAUACAAACCAUGCCUUCUUUAUAUUAAUUCCUUUUUUUUAAUUUAGUUUAUACGUUUUUCUGCAUAAUUUUCUGUGUUUCAUUGAUUAAAACCAAAAAAAUAAAAAAAAUAAAAUAAACUAAAGACAAUGGUGAAAUUAACAGAAGAAAUGAUUGUGGCACGUACACGAAUGUCCGAUUUUUCUGCCGUAAAGAAGCUCAAUUGUUGGGGAUCAGAAUUAACAGAUGUAAGCAUUUUACGUGAAAUGGAAAAUGUGGAAGUAUUAUCAUUAAGUGUGAACAAUAUUGACACGCUUGCUGAUUUUCAAUAUUGCCACAAUUUGCGAGAUCUAUUUAUUAGAAAAAAUAAUAUUAAAGAUCUGAAUGAAGUUUGUUAUCUUCAAGAGUUACCCAAUUUAAGGAAUUUAUGGCUUGGCGAAAAUCCUUGUGCGGAAAAAGAAGGAUAUCGAUUGACUGUUCUUCGAGCUUUACCAAAUCUGGAAAAGCUAGAUGAUAAAGUAGUAGCCCCGGAAGAAGUGCAAACUGCAUUGUCAAGAGGCCGAGUACUUGUACAUCCGCUUGAUAUGGAUGCAUCUCCACCACAAUCAGAAAUGAUUAGUCCAGAGGAAGUACCUGUUGAGUAUAUUGAAGAAACACGUGUGGAAAAACAUAGGAGAUAUAGUUCAUCUAGCGACCAGAGAAGUUAUGAUGAAAUGCAUCACACACAAGAGGAGUAUCAUGAUCCUGACAGAAGAAAUGCUAAUUGUAAAACAUUACCUCAUCAUUAUGCUCAAAGCAAUCAGUAUACAUAUGAGCUCCAUAAUGGGCAAUCAAAAAGUCAGAAUAAAGAUGAGAACAUGUGUACAGAAUCACGCAGUUACAUUGAGACUGUGGCUACUAACACUAUUGAUAUACCUAAGGAUACUGAUGAUCAACCAGCAGUUUCAAGACAUAAUGGAGAUUAUGACGAGAGACGAGCUUAUUCUGAAUAUGUUAAUAAUGAUGCAUCCCAACGUUCAUACACAUCGCCUUCACCACGUACUCAAUAUGGCGUUAAAUACGAAACUCAAGAUGAUAAUCGCUUUGACAGGAAUAAUUAUGAGUAUGACGAUAAGAGGCAGAUAGAAUGCGAUGAACCAUUACCUCAACCAUCAUCUCAACAUAGACGAAUGCCUACUCAUCAUAAUACUGAAAGGGAAGAUACAAGUCAAGUGCCUGGUUGGGUAAGACAUUCCGAUAAAGAGAAAUGUAGACCACAGUUUCACUAUCAUAGGCGGCCAGUUACAAGGAACUCAAAUAUACUCUCUGCCGUAUUAUGCCUAGUCAAAGAAUUGGACUAUCCCAGUUUGGAAGUAGUAGAAAUGGCAGUUAGAAAUCGAAUGGAUGAAUUAGAAGAAUGAUGUUUCUGACGCCGUCCCCAAAAUCUUCAGGGGACGGUUGCCUUUUCUCGUGUUGGCAGUAUUUCCUCUAUUCCAAGUCCAGAAUUUUCUGACUCACUUGACUCUAAUCAGUGCAUCGAUAAUGAUAUGAAUUUUAACAUCGAACAUCGUAUAUGCAAUCAUUAUGGGAUAGAUGAAACUAGUGAAAAAUCACAAAUGCAGAGAAAUGAAUCUACCGAAAACUGUAAUUUAAAUCGAAAUCCAAAAACUUUCGUUACCGAUUCAAAUCUUAGGUAUAUUAAAAAUAAUCCACAUACAUACAAACUUCGGGACUCUGGAUCAGAUAAUUUGACAACAACAAUUAACAGUGAACCAAAAAGAUCGAAUGACGUUAGAAGAGUAGCAAGCAGUGACAGUAUCCCCCGUAGUAACAAUAGUGGUGUAUAUUUCAAUCAAGGAAGUAAAGAUCCAAAUCAAGAUUGUAUAAGACGAUCGAAAAGUCCUGACGUUAGAAACACGAUAAUGCCACUUCGUUACAUUCAAUCAUCAAAAGGAACUUGGACGUACAACUUAGACAGGUCAUACAAUUAAUGAAGAUAAGAAUAAAAGGGUACUUAAUUAACUAUUACUUCUAAAUUACAAAGUAAAUCAUUGUAAUAUGUGCAUGAUGGUGCAUUAUAUGUUCCCUUUAUAACUUAAGGAAACAUUGUUCCAGAACAACAGUAUUUAUUGUACUUAUCAAAUGUUUAUUAUUAAAAAUUAUAAAAUGGACAAAUUCUUUCAAUAAUAUCAAUUAAUCAUAUUUUAGAUUAGAAGAUUUUAGUAUACACGUACAAAGUUUUUAAAUAAUUUUGUUAUCAUUAUAGCAAGAUCGAUUAAAUAGGUUUCAUGUUAGUAUUAUAUACUAUCAAAAAAGAAAAAAAAUGGCAAUAGAAUAGAAUAUCUUCAUAAAAUACAAAUAUCAAUAUUGAUAGUAGAGUAAAGAAAAAUUUUGUUCUGUAAAUGAUGUUUCCCUAGAUCAAAAAGCAUAAAAGGUGCAGCUUAUAUAUGUGAUAGUUAAAAAGUUAGCAAAUGCAACAAAUUCAAGACUUUGUAUAAAAUGUUAAGAUUUUCCAUGCAUGUGUGCAGUAUAUAUAUAUAAUAUAUAUAUAUAUAUAUAUAUAUAAUAUAUAUAAAUAAAUAUAUAUAUAUAUAUAUUUAUAUAUAUAUAUUUAUAUAUAUAUAUAAAAAUCUGGUAAAGAUAAUUAUUGGCAGAAAAAUUAAAUGUCUAUAUUUGCAAUGCCUAACUGUAGAAAAGCUUCCAUAUAUAUAUUCUCUAUUUUAAUAUGUAUAAAAAUCAGUUAGUAUAAAAAACUAAUCAUAGUAAAGAUUAUAAAUAUCAAAAAUCGUAAUAUUAUGAGCAGAUGAGAUUCAAUGCUUAUUAAUAAUUCGAUAAAAAUAUAAAAAAUAGAUUUAUGAAUCCUGUAAAAAGAACUAUUUAAGAAUUAUAGUAAAGUGAUAUAUAAAAUUCCAAGACAAAGAAUAUAUUGGUGUUUAAAAAAAAAAAGACGCAUUAGACAUAAUUAACUAUAGACUGAUAUACAGAGGAGGUAUAAAUUUUAGGAAAACUAACUUAUAUUAUAUAUUAUUUAAUCAAAAAAUUAAAAAUUAAUCUUUCUAUAUAACCAAAAGAAACUUCAAUACGUAACAAGAAAUUAAUUAUUUAUGAUAUACAUAAAUAGUCCUAUAAGAAAUUUUUUAAAUGUAGUGCAAUAUUUUUCCUUACUCCCAGCCGUCCAGCUUAUAUCAUUAAAUAAUUUAAAUUCAUCAUUAUUAAUAUUUACGAAAUUACAAUUAUUAUUGUUGUUGUUAUCAUAAUUAUAAUUAUAACAGAUAAUGUUGUUAUUAUAUUAUCAUUAUCAUUUUAACUUCUGUUUCAAAAUCUACAUAAUUGUUUCAUAAUUUUUGUAUAAUGUAAUAAUCAAAAUAAGAUUGUAUUAUAUUACAUAAAUAUUUCAUGUAAAUGAAUUAUUUAAUCAUGUUGCAAAAUAUUAAUUUUGUUUCUACUUCAAAUUGUAAAUCCUAUGAGACUUCAUUUGUGUUACACAAUAAGGAAGCUACUAAAAAAGAAAAAAAAAAUACAUUUUGACGAUUAAUAAUAUUUUCUUAAUUAAGUUAACAUUUUUAAGUAUUAUAAGAUAUAUAUAUAUAUAUAUAUUUAAAAUUUCCAAUUUUAUAUUACAUCAAAGAAAAAAAAUUAUUAUGACAUAUUACUGUAAUAAUUUAUAAGAUCAAAUGUAAAAUUAUUUCAAUUCAUACAUAAACUUAUAUUCAUGUAUGCUUUUAGGCAUCUAAAUUGCACAAGGGUGCAAAUUGAUGGCUUGGAGAUAAAAUGAUUCAAGAUAUAUAAAUAAAAAGAAUAAAAAAAAAAAAUGUUUUAGACAAAACUUAUAUAAUUUUUAAAUCCAUAUAAAAUUAUACAAGUUUUAGUAUUAAUGUAAAAGUGAUAUUUACAUGAAUUACUGUUUUUUUAUUAAUCAUUCAAUAGUAAAUUGAUAAUAACAAAUACUUAAAAAAACAUCAAAUUAUAUAAUCAUAAUAUACAAUACAUUUAUUCUUUCACUACUUAUAAAUUCAUUAAGCCUAAAAUCAUUAGAAGACUAAUACUUUUGUACAUUAUAAUUAAGGAAAAGAUUUUAUAUUAAAAGUUUCAGUUGGUUUUAAUAAAUAUUCCGUGCGCAAACUUGCCUAGUUUAACUAACUUAACUAUUAUCCUUAACCUAAAUGAAUAUGUAAGAACAUUUUCAAAUUUUAUAAUAUUUAUUCUUUAUUCAUGUACCAUUGUUGUGUUGUUUAAAAUGAGAUAGACAGUUCAUAGGAUUUAAAAGAUUUAAUUGCAUUUGUAUACAUAAGAAAUAAAAAUUAUGUGUUUUUGUCUGAAA